CAAAAACAUGUCCUUUAGAAUUUAAUUUAAGGUCUAACCUGCCCACUGAAUUAUUUAAAUGGCCGCAGUAUUUUAACUGUGCAAAGGUAGCAUAAUCAUUAGUCUUUUAAUUGAAGGCUUGUAUGAAUGGUUGGACGAAAUAUUAACUGUUUCAUAUAAAAUUAAUUUAGAAUUUUAUUUUUUAGUUAAAAAGCUAAAAUUUUUUUAAAAGACGAGAAGACCCUAUAGAUCUUUAUAUUUUAUGUAUUAUAUUUAUUUAGAUUAUUUAAAUUAUGAUUAUAUAAAUUAUUUUGUUGGGGUGACAUUAAAAUUUAAUUAACUUUUAAUAUAUUUUUACAUUGAUUUAUGAUUAAUUGAUCCAUUAUUAAUGAUUAUAAAAUUAAGUUACCUUAGGGAUAACAGCGUAAUUUUUUUGAAGAGUUCAUAUCGAUAAAAAAGAUUGCGACCUCGAUGUUGGAUUAAGAUAUAAUUUUGGGUGCAGCAAUUCAAUAAUUAAGUCUGUUCGACUUUUAAUUUCUUACAUGAUCU
RNAcentral lists this ribosomal RNA (528 nucleotides) under Eupsilocephala albodorsalis. RNAcentral describes it as "partial 16S ribosomal RNA". The stretch from base 395 to 528 matches the Rfam family "Bacterial large subunit ribosomal RNA", at positions 2473 to 2606 of the family's 2925-position model. Lineage: Eukaryota; Metazoa; Arthropoda; Insecta; Diptera; Therevidae. The record is from RNAcentral.